RNAcentral lists this ribosomal RNA (2900 nucleotides) under Klebsiella pneumoniae. Its description in RNAcentral is "bacterial LSU rRNA". It matches the Rfam family "Bacterial large subunit ribosomal RNA". Lineage: Bacteria; Pseudomonadati; Pseudomonadota; Gammaproteobacteria; Enterobacterales; Enterobacteriaceae. The record is from RNAcentral.
UUAAGCGACUAAGCGUACACGGUGGAUGCCCUGGCAGUCAGAGGCGAUGAAGGACGUGCUAAUCUGCGAAAAGCGUCGGUAAGGUGAUAUGAACCGUUAUAACCGGCGAUGUCCGAAUGGGGAAACCCAGUGCAAUUCGUUGCACUAUCGUUAACUGAAUACAUAGGUUAACGAGGCGAACCGGGGGAACUGAAACAUCUAAGUACCCCGAGGAAAAGAAAUCAACCGAGAUUCCCCCAGUAGCGGCGAGCGAACGGGGAGCAGCCCAGAGUCUGAAUCAGCUUGUGUGUUAGUGGAACGGUCUGGAAAGUCCGACGGUACAGGGUGAUAGUCCCGUACACCAAAAUGCACAGGCUGUGAACUCGAAGAGUAGGGCGGGACACGUGGUAUCCUGUCUGAAUAUGGGGGGACCAUCCUCCAAGGCUAAAUACUCCUGACUGACCGAUAGUGAACCAGUACCGUGAGGGAAAGGCGAAAAGAACCCCGGCGAGGGGAGUGAAAAAGAACCUGAAACCGUGUACGUACAAGCAGUGGGAGCACCUUCGGGUGUGACUGCGUACCUUUUGUAUAAUGGGUCAGCGACUUAUAUUCUGUAGCAAGGUUAACCGUAUAGGGGAGCCGCAGGGAAACCGAGUCUUAACUGGGCGUUAAGUUGCAGGGUAUAGACCCGAAACCCGGUGAUCUAGCCAUGGGCAGGUUGAAGGUUGGGUAACACUAACUGGAGGACCGAACCGACUAAUGUUGAAAAAUUAGCGGAUGACUUGUGGCUGGGGGUGAAAGGCCAAUCAAACCGGGAGAUAGCUGGUUCUCCCCGAAAGCUAUUUAGGUAGCGCCUCGUGAAUUCAUCUUCGGGGGUAGAGCACUGUUUCGGCUAGGGGGUCAUCCCGACUUACCAACCCGAUGCAAACUACGAAUACCGAAGAAUGUUAUCACGGGAGACACACGGCGGGUGCUAACGUCCGUCGUGAAGAGGGAAACAACCCAGACCGCCAGCUAAGGUCCCAAAGUCAUGGUUAAGUGGGAAACGAUGUGGGAAGGCACAGACAGCCAGGAUGUUGGCUUAGAAGCAGCCAUCAUUUAAAGAAAGCGUAAUAGCUCACUGGUCGAGUCGGCCUGCGCGGAAGAUGUAACGGGGCUAAACCAUGCACCGAAGCUGCGGCAGCGACACUAUGUGUUGUUGGGUAGGGGAGCGUUCUGUAAGCCUGCGAAGGUGUGCUGUGAGGCAUGCUGGAGGUAUCAGAAGUGCGAAUGCUGACAUAAGUAACGAUAAAGCGGGUGAAAAGCCCGCUCGCCGGAAGACCAAGGGUUCCUGUCCAACGUUAAUCGGGGCAGGGUGAGUCGACCCCUAAGGCGAGGCCGAAAGGCGUAGUCGAUGGGAAACAGGUUAAUAUUCCUGUACUUGGUGUUACUGCGAAGGGGGGACGGAGAAGGCUAUGUUAGCCGGGCGACGGUUGUCCCGGUUUAAGCAUGUAGGCUGGUUGUCCAGGCAAAUCCGGAUAAUCAAGGCUGAGGUGUGAUGACGAGGCACUACGGUGCUGAAGUAACAAAUGCCCUGCUUCCAGGAAAAGCCUCUAAGCAUCAGGUAACAUCAAAUCGUACCCCAAACCGACACAGGUGGUCAGGUAGAGAAUACCAAGGCGCUUGAGAGAACUCGGGUGAAGGAACUAGGCAAAAUGGUGCCGUAACUUCGGGAGAAGGCACGCUGGUGUGUAGGUGAAGUCCCUGCGGAUGGAGCUGAGACCAGUCGAAGAUACCAGCUGGCUGCAACUGUUUAUUAAAAACACAGCACUGUGCAAACACGAAAGUGGACGUAUACGGUGUGACGCCUGCCCGGUGCCGGAAGGUUAAUUGAUGGGGUUAUCCGUAAGGAGAAGCUCUUGAUCGAAGCCCCGGUAAACGGCGGCCGUAACUAUAACGGUCCUAAGGUAGCGAAAUUCCUUGUCGGGUAAGUUCCGACCUGCACGAAUGGCGUAAUGAUGGCCAGGCUGUCUCCACCCGAGACUCAGUGAAAUUGAACUCGCUGUGAAGAUGCAGUGUACCCGCGGCAAGACGGAAAGACCCCGUGAACCUUUACUAUAGCUUGACACUGAACAUUGAGCCUUGAUGUGUAGGAUAGGUGGGAGGCUUUGAAGCGUGGACGCCAGUCUGCGUGGAGCCAACCUUGAAAUACCACCCUUUAAUGUUUGAUGUUCUAACGUUGGCCCCUGACCGGGGUUGCGGACAGUGUCUGGUGGGUAGUUUGACUGGGGCGGUCUCCUCCCAAAGCGUAACGGAGGAGCACGAAGGUUAGCUAAUCCUGGUCGGACAUCAGGAGGUUAGUGCAAUGGCAUAAGCUAGCUUGACUGCGAGCGUGACGGCGCGAGCAGGUGCGAAAGCAGGUCAUAGUGAUCCGGUGGUUCUGAAUGGAAGGGCCAUCGCUCAACGGAUAAAAGGUACUCCGGGGAUAACAGGCUGAUACCGCCCAAGAGUUCAUAUCGACGGCGGUGUUUGGCACCUCGAUGUCGGCUCAUCACAUCCUGGGGCUGAAGUAGGUCCCAAGGGUAUGGCUGUUCGCCAUUUAAAGUGGUACGCGAGCUGGGUUUAGAACGUCGUGAGACAGUUCGGUCCCUAUCUGCCGUGGGCGCUGGAGAAUUGAGGGGGGCUGCUCCUAGUACGAGAGGACCGGAGUGGACGCAUCACUGGUGUUCGGGUUGUCAUGCCAAUGGCACUGCCCGGUAGCUAAAUGCGGAAGAGAUAAGUGCUGAAAGCAUCUAAGCACGAAACUUGCCCCGAGAUGAGUUCUCCCUGAGACUUUAAGUCUCCUGAAGGAACGUUGAAGACGACGACGUUGAUAGGCCGGGUGUGUAAGCGCAGCGAUGCGUUGAGCUAACCGGUACUAAUGAACCGUGAGGCUUAACCUU